Molecule: non-coding RNA, 45 nt
Filed under: Schistosoma mansoni
Lineage: Eukaryota; Metazoa; Platyhelminthes; Trematoda; Strigeidida; Schistosomatidae
Source: RNAcentral
AUCCAGCAGACGAGUCCCGAAUAGGACGAAACGCGCAUCCUGGAU